Molecule: ribosomal RNA, 230 nt
Filed under: Enterococcus faecalis
Lineage: Bacteria; Bacillati; Bacillota; Bacilli; Lactobacillales; Enterococcaceae
Description: partial 16S ribosomal RNA
Rfam family: Bacterial small subunit ribosomal RNA
Source: RNAcentral
CGCCUGCAUGAAGCCGGAAUCGCUAGUCAUCGCGGAUCAGCACGCCGCGGUGAAUACGUUCCCGGGCCUUGUACCCACCGCCCGUCACACCACGAGAGUUUGUAACACCCGAAGUCGGUGAGGUAACCUGUUUGGAGCCAGCCGCCUAAGGUGGGAUAGAUGAUUGGGGUGAAGUCGUAGCAAGGUAGCCGGAUCGGUAGGUGCGGCUGGAUGCCCUCCUUUCGAAGGAA